AAAUUAGAGUGCCUUGGCCUCAGUUCAAGCCCCAGUACUGGCACACACACAUUAAAAAAAAAAAAAUCAUGCUUUGUGCUUUAUCUUGUUUCGCAGACCACAGAGAGGGACUUUAAAAGUAAAAGUGGGUAAUUUGGCAUGAAUCUAUAUUUUCAUAUUUGGUAAAGAAAUAAGUUUUAAAAUAUAUAGAAAAAACAAAAGGAUUAAUACCAAGAAUAUCUUUUUUAUAUUUUAAUAACCAGUAACCAGAUGUCUCACCCAAAGAAAGUAACAAAAUAGAGUAAAAUAAAUAUUAAGAAAAAUUAUUUUAAAGUAAUGGAAAAAAAUCCUUUCUUAUACAUUUUUGAUUUUAAGCUGUGUCCAGAAAAGAUAUGCACACCUCAAUUUUUGGAAACAUUCAUGGUAUUAUUUUCAGCACUCUGUAUUUUGAAUAAAGAAUAUUUUUUAAAAAAAUUAAAGCACAAUAUAAAACUAUUUGUUCACAAGGCAUCAAAUUUAACUUCCUAAAAUGCUCAUCCUAAACUAGGAAAAUAACAUUUCUAUUUCCAUGACUGACAGCCAUACUUUUUUUGCCAACUAUACACUAAGUGCUUUAAUGGCAUUGCAAUCUUUGAAAUUCAAAAGGCCUCUUUGGAUAUUUAAGUGAAAAGUGCCUCAUGGCUGAGUCUGCACCAGCCCUGGAUAUCUAAGUCCUUCUUAUCUCCAGACAGAGGGCAGGGGUGCUGUGAAGUCAGAGGAGGGAUGAAAAUUCAAAUCAUUUUAAAAGAUGCAAACCAUCUUCCAUAUACAUCUAUUUUCUUUCUAUAUGGUAAUGUGGGUGUAUGUGUGUACAAAUACGCAUAUGUAUGAGUAUAUGAAUAAACAUACAUAGAUGUAUAUUGAUAAAAUUUGUUCUUACUAGUAACUAGUUUCUUAAAGCUACUUACUAACUAAAAGCUGUAAAUACAGCUUCUCUGUGAAGCUAAUGAGAGUUCAAGAUUACAAGAGGCUGUGGUAGAAAAUUCAAGUAUGGCUAUUCAAUAAAGUAGGCCUCUAAGUAUUUUUUUUUUCUUGCUGCUUAGUUUUUUGGUAUACUGGGUUUGAACUCAGGGCCUCUGGCUAGCUAGAUAAGCAUUCUACCACUGGAACUACAACCCCACCUGGACUUUUUCUAAACAGCAGUUUUCUGUUCUUGUAAGAAAUAAGAUGUUCUUCGAUUAUUCCCAAGACUAUAAGCUGCUACUUUUACUGUCCUAUGAUAUGUAUAUAGAGCCAAGAGGAAAGGAGGAGGAUGUAAGAAGGGAAAAGGAAUAAAGUAGGAAAGAAGAGAGCGACUUCUUUCCUCAAUGGCUCGAGGGAGAAAAAAAAAAUCUAUUAACAUUUGGGAUAGUACUUGUUUUUUUUUCCUAGAAAAAAAAGGAGUUGUGUUGUGAUGGGCUAUUAGAAUU
Molecule: long non-coding RNA, 1427 nt
Organism: Dipodomys spectabilis (banner-tailed kangaroo rat)
Lineage: Eukaryota; Metazoa; Chordata; Mammalia; Rodentia; Heteromyidae
Exons: 2
Source: RefSeq, a predicted model, not a curated record